AGAGUUUGAUCCUGGCUCAGAACGAACGUGGCGGCGUGGAUUAGGCAUGCAAGUCGAACGAGAACCGUAGCAAUACGGGGAAAGUGGCGAAAGGGGCAGUAAUGCAUGGGUAAUCUACCCCGGGGACGUGGAUAGCCAUCCUAACGGGUGGGUAAUACACGGCGAUUCGGCGGCGACGCAUGUUGCUGUCGGGAAAGGAAUUUCGCCUCGGGAGGAGCUCAUGUCGUAUUAGCUAGUUGGUGGGGUAACGGCCUACCAAGGCGAAGAUGCCUAGCGGGUGUGAGAGCACGACCCGCGCCACUGGCACUGAGACACUGGCCAGACACCUACGGGUGGCUGCAGUCGAGAAUCUUCGGCAAUGGGCGCAAGCCUGACCGAGCGACGCCGCGUGCGCGAUGAAGGCCUUCGGGUUGUAAAGCGCUGUCGAGGGGAGGAAAAGCCCCACAAGGGCUUGAUCGGCCCCUGGAGGAAGCACGGGCUAAGUUCGUGCCAGCAGCCGCGGUAAGACGAACCGUGCGAACGUUGUUCGGAAUCACUGGGCUUAAAGGGUGCGUAGGCGGGUUGUCCAGUCUGGGGUGAAAUCCCACGGCUCAACCGUGGAACUGCCUCAGAUACUGACGACCUCGAGGGAGGUAGGGGCGAGCGGAACUGUGGGUGGAGCGGUGAAAUGCGUUGAUAUCCACAGGAACUCCGGUGGCGAAGGCGGCUCGCUGGACCUCUACUGACG
Molecule: ribosomal RNA, 727 nt
Filed under: uncultured bacterium
Lineage: Bacteria
Description: bacterial SSU rRNA
Rfam family: Bacterial small subunit ribosomal RNA
Source: RNAcentral